CGCUAUCAUCCUACGGGAGGCAGCAGUGGGGAAUAUUGCACAAUGGGCGCAAGCCUGAUGCAGCCAUGCCGCGUGUAUGAAGAAGGCCUUCGGGUUGUAAAGUACUUUCAGCAGUGAGGAAGGUGGUAGUGUUAAUAGCACUAUCAUUUGACGUUAGCUGCAGAAGAAGCACCGGCUAACUCCGUGCCAGCAGCCGCGGUAAUACGGGAGGGUGCGAGCGUUAAUCGGAAUUACUGGGCGUAAAGCGCAUGCAGGUGGUUUGUUAAGUCAGAUGUGAAAGCCCGGGGCUCAACCUCGGAAUUGCAUUUGAAACUGGCAGACUAGAGUACUGUAGAGGGGGUAGAAUUUCAGGUGUAGCGGUGAAAUGCGUAGAGAUCUGAAGGAAUACCGGUGGCGAAGGCGGCCCCCUGGACAGAUACUGACACUCAGAUGCGAAAGCGUGGGGAGCAAACAGGAUUAGAUACCCUGGUAG
Molecule: ribosomal RNA, 472 nt
Filed under: uncultured bacterium
Lineage: Bacteria
Description: bacterial SSU rRNA
Rfam family: Bacterial small subunit ribosomal RNA
Source: RNAcentral